UCCACGGAGAGUUUGAUCCUGGCUCAGGAUGAACGCUGGCGGCGUGCUUAACACAUGCAAGUCGAGCGGUAAGGCCCCUUCGGGGGUACACGAGCGGCGAACGGGUGAGUAACACGUGGGGAACCUGCCCUUCUCUUCGGGAUAACUCCGGGAAACCGGUGCUAAUACCGGAUACUCCGGCGAGGCCGCAUGGUCUUGUCGGGAAAGCUCCGGCGGAGAGGGAUGGCCCCGCGGCCCAUUAGCUAGUUGGUGAGGUAACGGCCCACCAAGGCGACGAUGGGUAGCCGAGCUGAGAGGCUGAUCGGCCACACUGGGACUGAGACACGGCCCAGACUCCUACGGGAGGCAGCAGUGGGGAAUUU
This 362-nucleotide ribosomal RNA is filed under the name Actinomycetes bacterium. Its description in RNAcentral is "bacterial SSU rRNA". It matches the Rfam family "Bacterial small subunit ribosomal RNA", at positions 1 to 364 of the family's 1533-position model. Lineage: Bacteria; Bacillati; Actinomycetota; Actinomycetes. The record is from RNAcentral.